Tarenaya hassleriana is the source of this 1526-nucleotide long non-coding RNA. RefSeq lists it as uncharacterized. The transcript has 5 exons. The record is from RefSeq and is a predicted model, not a curated record. Lineage: Eukaryota; Viridiplantae; Streptophyta; Magnoliopsida; Brassicales; Cleomaceae.
CCUCGAUCUCACUCUAUUUCUAUUCAACUUCGUUGCUGCUUUACUUUUCCGCCGAUGAUUUCUCGGCAUUUGAUCUCUUCGGAUUGUGAUUUGCUAUGGCGGGAAUAUCUGGUUUUGGGGUCCAUAAAUGCUGAAAUUUAUGCUUCAGGAAUCUUUAAUUGUCUGAUUAGUUCGUUGAUUAGUGGGAUUGAUGAAGCUUGGCGCUUGAUCAAUGGGUUUAGGAUUCACGAUCAAUUGGCAUCAUAGCCGGGCUUGUUGUUGCUAUUUUUUUCAUCUGGAGGGCAAUAAGAACACCAGGGGUUCGCCAAAGAAAGCACCCGAGAGGAGGGUAAUAAUUGCUGGGAGUUCUUCUGCAGUUACUCAGACAAACAUAGCACCUAUCCCUCCUGGAGUUUCUUUGUCUUGGGAGGAUACCUGAUUACAAAAUAUGGUCGACGAGUUCUUUCAACCAGUAAAAGCUGGCCGAGGGGCAUAUUAAUAUAGUCAGGCGGAAACUUGGUGAAGGAAGACAAGUGAUUGAUAGUUGGCUGUGAUAUUGUCAUUGAAUUCUGUUCUGAUUAAGUUUAAUGGUUUUUUUUAAUAUUUUUCAGUUGCAGCUUUACCCUUGAGCCACAAUACAUCCGCAAUGAUGUAUCUUUCUUGGUGUUCUUAGAGUUAUGGAUAGUUGUGACUGUAGGAUGAAAUGCUUUUUUUUCUUUCUUGCUAUAAUUUCGCAAAGUCGGUUCUACGGGCUGACUUACUUAAGGAAGCAGUUGAGUCAUUUUCUUUUGGUCAGACAAAAAUCUUGGGUUAUGCUUUAUCCUCGUCUAAUAGCAAUAUGCUUUUGUAGGUAACAUGCCGCCUUCUUGGAGUGAUUCUUGAGGAAACAACUCCUGAAGAACUCCAGAUUUUCUCGUCAAGAGUUCUGAAACUCACAUUUCGAGCCUUACUGUACACAGACCACGAUUCUUCAGGCUUUAAAAAUGCAGGCCUUUCGCAUCGGGUGGUUUGGACAAAGACAAGGUUCUCUUUUUUGGCGCAGAAAUUGGAAGAACAUCCUCUGUCUGGGAACUAGAACCUGAAUGAAUGGCAUAUGGACACAAACCCGGAAAUCAUCACCCAAUUAUCUGUACAUCUCCAUCCUUUAUAUGCAUUCAUAUCCUCUCAAACUUUCCCGAGUUUUUUUUCCCCCUGCUUGCUUUGCUGCGGAGGUUCAUCAAGUAUCAUCCUCAUGUUUCUACCCGUAAAACCCGAGUGGACAGCUCCUCCGAACGUUUUUCAGCUCGCCGUCCUUAGAGCAUUUCUUCAGAAGCCUUUGAUGAGAGAAGCCUGAGAAGUAUAAUACUUUGGAGAGAUCAUUAACUAGUUUGUGGUGUUGUUUUUUUGUUUAGUAUCAGCAGAAAGUGUUGGGAGAUAGAAAUCUAAUAUGUUUAUUGAUGGUGGUGGUGAUGAGUUCCCUCUCCUCUCAUGCGUUCUUUCUUUUAUUACAACAGAAUUUCCUGAAAUGGAAAUUGUCACAUAAUGAAGAAUAUAUUACAUGUUUUUUU